This 1232-nucleotide long non-coding RNA is filed under the name Monodelphis domestica (gray short-tailed opossum). RNAcentral describes it as "lncRNA (ENSMODG00000044856.1)". Lineage: Eukaryota; Metazoa; Chordata; Mammalia; Didelphimorphia; Didelphidae. The record is from RNAcentral.
UGUUGCUUUCCUUCUAAUUCUGGUUGCAUUGGUUUUGUUUUUACAAAACCUCUUUAUUAUAAUCAAAAUUAUUCAUUUUACAUUUGUAAUAUUCUCUAUCUCUUGCUUGGUCUUAAAUUCCUUCCUUUUCCAUAUAACUGACAGGUAUACUAUUCUAUGAUUUAUUUAUUUAUAAUUUCACUCCUUAUAUUUAACUCAUUUGCCCAUUUUGAAUUUAUCAUGGUAUAGGGUGUGAGAUGUUGAUCUAAACCUGAUUUUUCCUGUACUGUUUUCUAAUUUUCCCAGUAGUUUUUGUCAAAAAAUGAGUUCUUGUCCCAAAAGCUGGAAUAUUUGGGAUUAUCAGACACUAGCUUGCUGAGGUAUUGAUCCACCCUUCUAUCUCUUAGCCAAUCCCACGUUGUUUUGAUGAUCGCUGCUUUAUAGUGCAGUUUAAGAUCUUGUACUGCUAGACCCCAAUCCUUUACAUUUGUUUUCAUUAUUUCCUUUGAUAUUCUUGAUCUUUUGUUCUUCCAGGUGAACCUUAUUAUGUUUGGUUUUUUUCUAAUACUAUAAAAUAUAAAGUUUCUUGAUAAUUUGAUAGGUAUGGCACUGAAUAAGUAAAUUAAUUUGGGUAGGAUUGUCAGUUUUAUUAUAUUAGCUUGCCCUAUCCAGGAGCAAUUAAUGUUUUUCCAAUUAUUUAGAUCUGGUUUUAAUUAUGUGAAAAGUAUUAUGUAGUUGUGUUCAUAUAAUUCCUGUGUUCAUCUUGGUAUAUAAUGCCCUUUUUAAAUGGAAAGGUGUUUUGAAUCUUGGUAUGUCGACUUAAUUUCUCUCUUUGCUUUUCAGAACAACUUCAGAAGGUAUUUGGCAAGAAAGUGCUAGAAUAUGCUUUGAAUUUAUGUCAGGGGCAUUAUGAUUUUUUAAUUCGAAUGCCUGACAACCUACUCAUACACAUUUUUUCUUUCUUGAAUUUGGAUGACAUUGGACGAUUGUCCAAAACCUGCAAAAAAUUCCAAAAGAUGUGUAACAGUGAAGAGUUCUGGGAGAAGAUUAGAACACUGCAGAACAAAAGUGCUUUUGAUAUAAAGAGAGUGGGUCUAACGGUUUAUAAGAAGCUCAUAAAUUUCCAUCAAAAAACUGACCAUCAGAGGCAACCCAAACAGAGACGACAAACUGCAUUCUUCUAAAUACUGAAACAGGAAUUUUCAUUCAGCAACCAGGAUCAUAAUUGUAUCAUUUUUUUUAAAUUUAAUUUU